GAAAGUAAUGAAGGGCGUACGGUGGAUGCCUAGGCUCUUACAGGCGAUGAAGGACGUGAUAAGCUGCGAAAAGCCGCGGUGAGGCGCAAAUGGCCCUUGACCCGCGGAUCUCCGAAUGGGACAACCCAAUAUCUUGAAGAGAUAUUAUCCCGCCGAUGCGGGAGGCGAACGCGGGGAACUGAAACAUCUUAGUACCCGCAGGAAAAGAAAAUAAAGAAUGAUUCCCCCAGUAGUGGCGAGCGACCGGGGAAGAGCCCAAACCGACGUUGUCUCGGCAUCGUCGGGGUUGUAGGACCGCGCCAUCGCAAGAAAGGCCGUGAGUGGAAGCGACUGGAAAGCCGCGCCAUAGAGGGUGACAGCCCCUUACACGAAGCAGCCUGAAGCGUAGCGGACUCCUGAGUAGCGCGGGACACGAGUAAUCCUGUGUGAAUCCGCCGGGCCCAUCCGGCAAGGCUAAAUACUCGUAAGAGACCGAUAGUGAACCAGUACCGUGAGGGAAAGGUGAAAAGUACCCCUUGCAGGGGAGUGAAAUAGUUCCUGAAACCGUACGCCUACAAGCGGUCGGAGCAUCUUGAAUGAUGUGACGGCGUGCCUUUUGCAUAAUGAACCUACGAGUUGCCGUCACCAGCGAGGUUAAGUGCGAUGACGCACCGAGCCGCAGCGGAAGCGAGUCUUAAAAGGGCGCGAUAGUUGGUGGAGGCAGACGCGAAACCGAGUGAUCUACACUUGUCCAGGAUGAAGUCCCGGUAACACGGGAUGGAGGUCCGCACCAAUAAGCGUUGAAAAGCUUCUGGAUGAGGUGAGUGUAGGAGUGAAAGGCCAAUCAAACUCGGAGAUAGCUCGUACUCCCCGAAAGGCAUUUAGGUGCCGCCUGUGGCGUUCCCGACGUGAGGUAGAGCGACUGAUAGGAUGCGAGGGCUUCACCGCCUAUCAAGUCCUGACAAACUCCGAAUGCACGUCGGCCAAGCCAUGGAGUAAGGGCAUGGGUGCUAAGGUCCGUGCCCGAGAGGAGAAGAAUCCAGACCACCGGCUAAGGUCCCGAAAUACUGGUUAAGUUAGACUAACGCAGUCCGGCCCCCAAGACAGCUAGGAUGUUGGCUUGGAAGCAGCCAUUCAUUCAAAGAGUGCGUAACAGCUCACUAGUCGAGGAGCUGGGCGUGGAUAAUAAUCGGGUAUAAAACCAGUUACCGAAGCCGUGGGAUACUUAAGCAUCGGUAGGGGAGCAUUGCAUGCGGCUUAGAAGGCGGGGCGCGAGCCCCUCUGGAGCGCAUGGAAACGCAAAUGUAGGUAUAAGUAACGACAAGGGGGGUGGGAUGCCCCCCCGCCGAAAGACCAAGGUUUCCUGAACAACGCUAAUCGGUUCAGGGUCAGUCGGGUCCUAAGCAUAAGCCGUAUGGCGAGGGCGAUGGAUGAAACGGUUAAUAUUCCGUUACUGUCUUGGUGUGUGACGCGGCGACGGAGUAGUGACACGGCCGCCUCCUGACGGAAAAGGGGGUUGAAGCGCAAAGGUGUCGAGGAAGGCAGGCAAAUCCACCUUCCGAGCCGAAGCGCGAUAGUACGCCGCGCCCUUUUGGGCAAGGCGAUAGUGCCGGUAAUCAGACUUCCAAGAAAACCCGCUAAACUUCAGCACCAAGUCACCCGUACUCUAAACGGACACACGUGGUCGGGUAGAAUAUACUAAGGCGCUUGGGAGAUUCACGGUUAAGGAACUAGGCAAAUUGACCCCGUACCUUCGGAAUAAGGGGUCCUCGCUUUUGCGAGGCGCAGAGAAUAGGUCCAGGCAACUGUUUAACAAAAACACAGGGCUGUGCAAAUUUGAAAGAAGAAGUAUACAGCCUGACACCUGCCCGGUGCCGGAAGGUUAAGAGGAGAGCUCAUCAGCGAUGAGAAGGUUUGAAUUGAAGCCCCGGUAAACGGCGGCCGUAACUAUAACGGUCCUAAGGUAGCGAAAUUCCUUGUCGGGUAAGUUC
Molecule: ribosomal RNA, 1970 nt
Filed under: human gut metagenome
Description: bacterial LSU rRNA
Rfam family: Bacterial large subunit ribosomal RNA
Source: RNAcentral